GGACUUACGUCAAACUCCACACAAACAGGCAAACAUGGAAACCGAAUGUCAAUCGCUGGACUUACAUCAGACUCCAAGCACACAACAGACAGUAGGAUACGGAAUGCCAAUCGCUGGACUUACAUCCAUCUCCUAACACCCACAAAGAAAAAACAAAAGGACGCCCGGAGAGAUCAGCUCAUCUCCUGCCUACGUACCUCAUCUGGUAUGAGGAUCAGGGCGACGUAGUUCCCCUACGCAGGGACAAAGGACUAGCCUAACCAGACA
RNAcentral lists this long non-coding RNA (267 nucleotides) under Lathyrus oleraceus (garden pea). RNAcentral describes it as "Pisum sativum (pea) long non-coding RNA (PSAT_LNC006209)". The record is from RNAcentral. Lineage: Eukaryota; Viridiplantae; Streptophyta; Magnoliopsida; Fabales; Fabaceae.